AUCAUGACGGUACCUGCAGAAGCAACUGCGGCUAACUACGUGCCAGCAGCCGCGGUAAUACGUAGGCAGCGAGCGUUGUUCGGAGUUACUGGGCGUAAAGGGUGUGUAGGCGGUUGCUUAAGUUUGGUGUGAAAUCUCCCGGCUCAACUGGGAGGGUGCGCCGAAUACUGAGUGACUCGAGUGCGGGAGAGGAGAGUGGAAUUCCUGGUGUAGCGGUGAAAUGCGUAGAUAUCAGGAGGAACACCGGCGGUGUAGACGGCUCUCUGGACCGUAACUGACGCUGAGACACGAAAGCGUGGGUAGCAAACAGGAUUAGAUACCCUGGUAGUCCACGCCCUAAACGAUGCAUAUUUGGUGUGGGUCAUCCAGUUGAUCCGUGCCGGAGCUAACGCGUUAAAUGUGCCGCCUGGGGAGUACAGUCGCAAGGCUGAAACUCAAAGGAAUUGACGG
Molecule: ribosomal RNA, 450 nt
Filed under: uncultured bacterium
Lineage: Bacteria
Description: bacterial SSU rRNA
Rfam family: Bacterial small subunit ribosomal RNA
Source: RNAcentral